CGGACGGGUGAGUAACGCGUGGGGAACCUGCCCUGUACAGGGGGAUAACACUUAGAAAUAGGUGCUAAUACCGCAUAAGCGCACAGUAUCGCAUGAUACAGUGUGAAAAACUCCGGUGGUACAGGAUGGACCCGCGUCUGAUUAGCUGGUUGGCGGGGUAACGGCCCACCAAGGCGACGAUCAGUAGCCGGCCUGAGAGGGUGAACGGCCACAUUGGGACUGAGACACGGCCCAGACUCCUACGGGAGGCAGCAG
RNAcentral lists this ribosomal RNA (255 nucleotides) under uncultured bacterium. RNAcentral's name for it is "partial 16S ribosomal RNA". It matches the Rfam family "Bacterial small subunit ribosomal RNA", at positions 99 to 354 of the family's 1533-position model. The record is from RNAcentral.